This 1260-nucleotide ribosomal RNA is filed under the name uncultured bacterium. Its description in RNAcentral is "bacterial SSU rRNA". It matches the Rfam family "Bacterial small subunit ribosomal RNA", at positions 28 to 1284 of the family's 1533-position model. The record is from RNAcentral.
GAUGAACGCUGGCGGCGUGCUUAACACAUGCAAGUCGAACGAAGCACUUUAUUACAAUUUCUUCGGAAUGACGAUUUAGUGACUGAGUGGCGGACGGGUGAGUAACGCGUGGGUAACCUGCCUUAUACAGGGGGAUAACAGUUAGAAAUGACUGCUAAUACCGCAUAAGCGCACAGGAUUGCAUGAUCUGGUGUGAAAAACUCCGGUGGUAUAAGAUGGACCCGCGUCUGAUUAGCUGGUUGGUGAGGUAACGGCCCACCAAGGCGACGAUCAGUAGCCGACCUGAGAGGGUGACCGGCCACAUUGGGACUGAGACACGGCCCAAACUCCUACGGGAGGCAGCAGUGGGGAAUAUUGCACAAUGGGGGAAACCCUGAUGCAGCGACGCCGCGUGAGCGAAGAAGUAUUUCGGUAUGUAAAGCUCUAUCAGCAGGGAAGAAAAAAAUGACGGUACCUGACUAAGAAGCCCCGGCUAACUACGUGCCAGCAGCCGCGGUAAUACGUAGGGGGCAAGCGUUAUCCGGAUUUACUGGGUGUAAAGGGAGCGCAGGCGGUGCGGCAAGUCUGAUGUGAAAGCCCGGGGCUCAACCCCGGGACUGCAUUGGAAACUGUCGUACUUGAGUAUCGGAGAGGUAAGUGGAAUUCCUAGUGUAGCGGUGAAAUGCGUAGAUAUUAGGAGGAACACCAGUGGCGAAGGCGGCUUACUGGACGAUGACUGACGCUGAGGCUCGAAAGCGUGGGGAGCAAACAGGAUUAGAUACCCUGGUAGUCCACGCCGUAAACGAUGAAUAAGAGGUGUCGGGAGACAUAGUCCUUCGGUGCCGCAGCAAACGCAAUAAGUAUUCCCCCCGGGGGAGUACGUUCGCAAGAAUGAAAAUCAAAGGAAUAGACGGGGACCCGCACAAGCGGUGGAGCAUGUGGUUUAAUUUGUAGCAACGCGAAGAACCUUACCAAGUCUUGACAUCCCGGUGACAAAGUAUGUAAUGUACUCUUUCUUCGGGACACCGGCGACAGGUGGUGCAUGGUUGUCGUCAGCUCGUGUCGUGAGAAGUUGGGUUAAGUCCCGCAACGAGCGCAACCCCCCUCCUUAGUAGCCAGCAGUUCGGCUGGGCACUCUAGGGAGACUGCCAGGGAUAACCUGGAGGAAGGCGGGGAGGACGUCAAAUCAUCAUGCCCCCUAUGACUUGGGGUACACACGCGCUACAAUGGCGUAAACAAAGGGAAGCGAAAGGGUGACCUCUAGCAAAUCCCAAAAAUAAC